GAGUUUGAUUAUGGCUCAGGAUGAACGCUAGCGGCAGGCCUAACACAUGCAAGUCGAGGGGUAGAGUGCUUCGGCACUUGAGACCGGCGUACGGGUGCGUAACACGUGUACAAUCUACCUUUUACUAAGGGAUAGCCCGAAGAAAUUUGGAUUAAUACCUUAUAGUAUUAUUUUAUGGCAUCAUUAAAUAAUUAAAGCUACGGUGGUAAAAGAUGAGUACGCGUCCCAUUAGCUAGUUGGUGUGGUAACGGCAUACCAAGGCUACGAUGGGUAGGGGUCCUGAGAGGGAGGUCCCCCACACUGGUACUGAGACACGGACCAGACUCCUACGGGAGGCAGCAGUGAGGAAUAUUGGACAAUGGUCGGAAGACUGAUCCAGCCAUGCCGCGUGCAGGAUGACGGCCUUAUGGGUUGUAAACUGCUUUUAUACAGGAAGAAUAAGGUCUACGCGUAGAUUGAUGACGGUA
This 467-nucleotide ribosomal RNA is filed under the name Capnocytophaga canimorsus. Its description in RNAcentral is "bacterial SSU rRNA". It matches the Rfam family "Bacterial small subunit ribosomal RNA", at positions 9 to 477 of the family's 1533-position model. The record is from RNAcentral. Lineage: Bacteria; Pseudomonadati; Bacteroidota; Flavobacteriia; Flavobacteriales; Flavobacteriaceae.